RNAcentral lists this ribosomal RNA (422 nucleotides) under uncultured bacterium. RNAcentral describes it as "bacterial SSU rRNA". It matches the Rfam family "Bacterial small subunit ribosomal RNA", at positions 355 to 774 of the family's 1533-position model. The record is from RNAcentral.
UGAGGAAUAUUGGGCAAUGCCCGAAAGGGUGACCCAGCAACGCCGCGUGGAGGAUGAAGGUCGUAAGAUUGUAAACUCCUGUUAGAGGGGAAGAAUAUCUAAGUUUGGAGCUUAGUAUGACUGUACCCUCAGAGAAAGCCCCGGCUAACUACGUGCCAGCAGCCGCGGUAAUACGUAGGGGGCAAGCGUUGUCCGGAUUUACUGGGUGUGAAGGGCGCGCAGGCGGAAUGGAAAGUCAGUGGUGAAAUCCUACAGCUUAACUGUAGAACUGCCUUUGAUACUUUCAUUCUUGAGUUCGGGAGAGAGAGACGGAAUUCCAGGUGUAGUGGUGAAAUACGUAGAUAUCUGGAAGAACACCAGUUGCGAAGGCGGUCUCUUGGUCCGAUACUGACGCUGAGGCGCGAAAGCGUGGGGAGCAAACA